This 468-nucleotide ribosomal RNA is filed under the name uncultured bacterium. RNAcentral describes it as "partial 16S ribosomal RNA". It matches the Rfam family "Bacterial small subunit ribosomal RNA", at positions 28 to 507 of the family's 1533-position model. The record is from RNAcentral.
GACGAACGCUGGCGGCGUGCUUAACACAUGCAAGUCGAACGGAAAGGCCCUGCUUUUGUGGGGUGCUCGAGUGGCGAACGGGUGAGUAACAUGUGAGUAACCUGGCCUUGACUUUGGGAUAACUUCAGGAAACUGGGGCUAAUACCGGAUAGGAGCUCCUGCUGCAUGGUGGGGGUUGGAAAGUUUCGGCGGUUGGGGAUGGACGCGCGGCUUAUCAGCUUGUUGGUGGGGUAGUGGCUUACCAAGGCUUUGACGGGUAGCCGGCCUGAGAGGGUGACCGGCCACAUUGGGACUGAGAUACGGCCCAGACUCCUACGGGAGGCAGCAGUGGGGAAUAUUGCACAAUGGGCCGAAGCCUGAUGCAGCGACGCCGCGUGCGGGAUGACGGCCUUCGGGUUGUAAACCGCUUUCGCCUGUGACGAAGCGUGAGUGACGGUAAUGGGUAAAGAAGCACCGGCUAACUACGUG